AUUGAACGCUGGCGGCAGGCCUAACACAUGCAAGUCGGACGAGCGGCGGACGGGCGAGCAAUGUAUGGGGAUCUGCCUGAUGGAGGGGGAUAACUACUGGAAACGGUAGCUAAUAGCGCAUACCAUCAGUUGAACUCUUAUGGGAUUAGCUGGUGGGUAAGGUAACGGCUUACCUAGGCGACGAGCCCUAGCUGGCCUGAGAGGAUGAUCAGCCACACUGGGACUGAGACACGGCCCAGACUCCUACGGGAGGCAGCAGUGGGGAAUAUUCGACAAUGGACGCAAGCCUGAUGCAGCCAUGCCGCGUGUGUGAAGAAGGCUUUCGGAUUGUAAAGUACUUUCGGUAGGGAAGCGGUACCGACAGAGGAAGCACCGGCUAACUCCGUGCCAGCAGCCGCGGUAAUAC
Molecule: ribosomal RNA, 406 nt
Filed under: uncultured bacterium
Lineage: Bacteria
Description: partial 16S ribosomal RNA
Rfam family: Bacterial small subunit ribosomal RNA
Source: RNAcentral